CUCACCCGCAUACCCACCCUCACCCACUUUCGCACACACACAACACUCCAAGCCUCUCUCCUCGCCAGACUACAGAGGUGCGCUCGCCGGAGGUGAGGCGGCCCAGGCUGGUGGAUUGCACAGGACAGCUCUAGUAGCUCCGGAGCAGGACUCCACGACGCGGACCUGCACACUCGCUAUGAGCAGCCCCCGGACCCAGGGUGCAUCCACAGCGCCCACCUGCGGCCCCAAACCACCUCGAGAGCAGAUCUUCAGGAAUAACCGGGCAGCAACUUGGGGCGCCCUGAAGCUACCAAAACCUCUGCCGGAAACCUAGAACAUAUGACCGAAUUCAACGGUCGUCUUCCGACAAGCAUCCAUCCAUGCACCCAUGCAUACAAUGCAAAUACAUGGAUACAGGCACUGACUGCUGCACCUUUCCCUUGCUUGGGCUGAGAGCAGGAGUAGGGAGGACUUUCCUGCAGUCCCUCCUCCGGCUCAGCCCUGUUCUCCUUCCCAAAGGGAGAACAUUGAGUUACAAAAAAAGUGCAAAGGAACGAAAUCCCAGGUCAAAGGCUCCCGGAAACACUCCUUUGGUUCUCGUCCCUGUCCUGCUGCCCCACCUCCACUGUCCCCAGCUCGGGGAAGGCGGGGACCAGGCGGUGCGAGGGGUCGUGCCCUGCACAGCCAGAACAAAGCCCACCGCGGCAUCCCACAGCCACGCAGGGAGCUGGUGACAACGGCGUACGCACUCAGUGACCUGAUAAGGUGACUCAGUGUUUACCUCUUCACUGUCCCGCACCCCAUCUUCCUCUCUCAUCCCUUUCUGUCCCAAGUUUCCUCCAUUUCUCCCUGCUUUUUUGCUCCACCUCACCCCUUUUACAUGUUCCCCUUCUCCCUUUGCGUUUUUUCAUCUCUUUCCGUUUUUCUUUUUCACGGAAAUGCAAUGCCAGUUCGACUUCUGAAGGCCGCUCUGCGUGCCUAGUGCUUAGAGAGAAAAAAGGACUAAUGGAAUCCUCCUAAUUUUAUUCUGCAAACCAUGUUCUAAAUAAAAUACAAUACAGUCUAAAGAAGCGGAGCUUGGAUCUCGUACCCCCACAAGUCGCCGCCUAUUUGGGAGAACUUUCUGAAGAUGGCCACAAAUCACAGGAGAAAGGAGGAAGGAAGGAGGCCGCCCUCGCCUCUGUGGAAUGGAGACCUCAAGUGCUGGUGCCCCCUCAAGACAAGCUUGUCCAGGGAAAGUUCCAAUCUAAUUGUAUAAGCCCGGAAAGGAAUCACUCGCCAGAACCCUUGCUGUGAAAUCAUAUUGCUUCCGAAGUUAGAAUACGUUAAUAAUCACUUUUUUUUCUGAGUGAAAUUUUGUUUGUUUUUGCAAUGAGAAUUAAAGCGAACAUAACCUAUGCCAUUUGGACAAGCACACCUUGACUUCUGAGGGCUUUUUGCACCCUGAUAUAACACUAAAUUAAGAUUUGUCAUCUGUUAAGCACCACUCAACCUGGGAAAUUCUGCCCUUGGGCUUUAUUGAGUAACCAGAAAAUUUGGGAGGAGGGGUAAGUGUUCAAAGCAAUAAGGGAUACAAAACUUUUAACUUUGGGCUAACAAACUCUAGUUGCAUGAAGCUACAGUGAGCAAGGUCACUGAGUUCUACCACUAAGGCCUUUUCACCAGAUAUUUUGGGACUGAAAUUAUACUGCUGCAAACAAGCCAUGGAGUAUCUGAAAGUAUCAAUAUUGAUACUGUAUUUUUUAAGUGAACAAAACAGCCACACUUUCUCGAAGACCCCUUGAACACUGACCAGUCAGGUGGACCUAUGGAGGGAGCAGGACAAUGAAGUGGGAGCUUCAACAGCCACAGGAGAGAGGACACCACAUAAGCACCACUUGGGGGAAAUGCCCAAAAGAACAGCUUUCAGCCUGGUAAACUGCAAUUUGUACCCAGUUCCACAGAUAAUAGCUAAGUUCAAAUAUUAAAAAUCUAAUGAAAAA
Molecule: long non-coding RNA, 1964 nt
Organism: Phyllostomus hastatus (greater spear-nosed bat)
Lineage: Eukaryota; Metazoa; Chordata; Mammalia; Chiroptera; Phyllostomidae
Exons: 2
Source: RefSeq, a predicted model, not a curated record